RNAcentral lists this ribosomal RNA (463 nucleotides) under uncultured bacterium. RNAcentral describes it as "partial 16S ribosomal RNA". It matches the Rfam family "Bacterial small subunit ribosomal RNA", at positions 28 to 507 of the family's 1533-position model. The record is from RNAcentral.
GAUGAACGCUGACAGAAUGCUUAACACAUGCAAGUCGAUGGGGAAGUGGUGCUUGCCCCAUGGCAACCAUGGCGGACGGGUGAGUAACGCGUAAGGGACUUACCUGCAGGACUGGGAUAACAGGGGGAAACUCCUGACAAGACCGGAUAAUGUCAUGGAGCUGCAUGGCUUUAUGAUGAAAGGAGACGCCUGCGGAGAGCCUUGCGUCCUAUUAGCUAGUUGGUGAGGUAAUGGCUCACCAAGGCGAAGAUAGGUAGCCGGCCUGAGAGGGUGGACGGCCACAAGGGGACUGAGAUACGGCCCUUACUCCUACGGGAGGCAGCAGUGGGGAAUAUUGGACAAUGGGGGCAACCCUGAUCCAGAAAUUCUGUGUGCACGAAGAAGGUUUUCGGAUUGUAAAGUGCUUUCAGCAGGGAAGAAGUAAGUGACGGUACCUGCAGAAGAAGCGACGGCUAAAUACGUG